This 1172-nucleotide ribosomal RNA is filed under the name uncultured Bacteroides sp. RNAcentral's name for it is "bacterial SSU rRNA". It matches the Rfam family "Bacterial small subunit ribosomal RNA", at positions 10 to 1176 of the family's 1533-position model. The record is from RNAcentral. Lineage: Bacteria; Pseudomonadati; Bacteroidota; Bacteroidia; Bacteroidales; Bacteroidaceae.
AGUUUGAUCCUGGCUCAGGAUGAACGCUAGCUACAGGCUUAACACAUGCAAGUCGAGGGGCAGCAUUUUAGUUUGCUUGCAAACUGAAGAUGGCGACCGGCGCACGGGUGAGUAACACGUAUCCAACCUGCCGAUAACUCCGGAAUAGCCUUUCGAAAGAAAGAUUAAUACCGGAUAGUAUACGAAUAUCGCAUGAUAUUUUUAUUAAAGAAUUUCGGUUAUCGAUGGGGAUGCGUUCCAUUAGUUUGUUGGCGGGGUAACGGCCCACCAAGACUACGAUGGAUAGGGGUUCUGAGAGGAAGGUCCCCCACAUUGGAACUGAGACACGGUCCAAACUCCUACGGGAGGCAGCAGUGAGGAAUAUUGGUCAAUGGGCGAGAGCCUGAACCAGCCAAGUAGCGUGAAGGAUGAAGGCUCUAUGGGUCGUAAACUUCUUUUAUAUGGGAAUAAAGUUUUCCACGUGUGGAAUUUUGUAUGUACCAUAUGAAUAAGGAUCGGCUAACUCCGUGCCAGCAGCCGCGGUAAUACGGAGGAUCCGAGCGUUAUCCGGAUUUAUUGGGUUUAAAGGGAGCGUAGGUGGAUUGUUAAGUCAGUUGUGAAAGUUUGCGGCUCAACCGUAAAAUUGCAGUUGAAACUGGCAGUCUUGAGUACAGUAGAGGUGGGCGGAAUUCGUGGUGUAGCGGUGAAAUGCUUAGAUAUCACGAAGAACUCCGAUUGCGAAGGCAGCUCACUAGACUGUUACUGACACUGAUGCUCGAAAGUGUGGGUAUCAAACAGGAUUAGAUACCCUGGUAGUCCACACAGUAAACGAUGAAUACUCGCUGUUUGCGAUAUACAGUAAGCGGCCAAGCGAAAGCAUUAAGUAUUCCACCUGGGGAGUACGCCGGCAACGGUGAAACUCAAAGGAAUUGACGGGGGCCCGCACAAGCGGAGGAACAUGUGGUUUAAUUCGAUGAUACGCGAGGAACCUUACCCGGGCUUAAAUUGCAACAGAAUAUAUUGGAAACAGUAUAGCCGUAAGGCUGUUGUGAAGGUGCUGCAUGGUUGUCGUCAGCUCGUGCCGUGAGGUGUCGGCUUAAGUGCCAUAACGAGCGCAACCCUUAUCUUUAGUUACUAACAGGUUAUGCUGAGGACUCUAGAGAGACUGCCGUCGUAAGAUGUGAGGAAGGUGG